Erinaceus europaeus (western European hedgehog) is the source of this 89-nucleotide small nucleolar RNA. Its record names the gene SNORD116. It matches the Rfam family "Small nucleolar RNA SNORD116". Rfam says of the family: HBII-85 is a member of the C/D class of snoRNAs, which contain the C (UGAUGA) and D (CUGA) box motifs. The record is from Ensembl. Lineage: Eukaryota; Metazoa; Chordata; Mammalia; Eulipotyphla; Erinaceidae.
GGAUCAUGAUGACUCCCCACUUACACCAGCAUUCCUUGGAAAAGCUGAACAAAAUGAGUGAUAACGCCCUCAAAAAAUAAUAAUGAUCA